RNAcentral lists this ribosomal RNA (395 nucleotides) under uncultured bacterium. Its description in RNAcentral is "bacterial SSU rRNA". It matches the Rfam family "Bacterial small subunit ribosomal RNA", at positions 29 to 416 of the family's 1533-position model. The record is from RNAcentral.
AACGAACGCUGGCGGCGCGCCUAAUACAUGCAAGUCGAGCGAGAAGGUGUAGCAAUACACUUGUAAAGCGGCGAACGGGUGAGGAAUACAUGGGUAACCUACCCUCGAGUGGGGAAUAACUAGCCGAAAGGUUAGCUAAUACCGCGUACGCUUCCGGAACUGCGGUUCCGGAAGGAAAGCGAUACUGUGAGUAUCGCGCUCUUGGAUGGGCUCAUGUCCUAUCAGCUUGUUGGUGAGGUAACGGCUCACCAAGGCUUCGACGGGUAGCUGGUCUGAGAGGACGAUCAGCCACACUGGCACUGCGACACGGGCCAGACUCUACGGAGGCAGCAGUAAGGAAUAUUGCGCAAUGGACGACAGUCUGACGCAGCGACGCCGCGUGGGGGACGAAGGUC